UACGUAGGGACCGAGCGUUGUCCGGAAUCAUUGGGCGUAAAGAGCGUGUAGGCGGCUAUUUAAGUCCUGCGUGAAAUCCUGCGGCUCAACCGCAGACGGUCGUGGGAAACUGGAUGGCUAGAGUGCGGGAGAGGAGAGUGGAAUUCCCGGUGUAGAGGUGAAAUUCGUAGAUAUCGGGAGGAACACCAGUGGCGAAGGCGGCGAUCUGGGAAGAUACUGACGCUGAGGCGCGAAAGCGUGGGGAGCAAACAGG
Molecule: ribosomal RNA, 253 nt
Filed under: uncultured bacterium
Lineage: Bacteria
Description: partial 16S ribosomal RNA
Rfam family: Bacterial small subunit ribosomal RNA
Source: RNAcentral